RNAcentral lists this long non-coding RNA (236 nucleotides) under Coturnix japonica (Japanese quail). RNAcentral describes it as "HOXA11 antisense RNA 1 conserved region 4 (ENSCJPG00005012537.1)". It matches the Rfam family "HOXA11 antisense RNA 1 conserved region 4". The record is from RNAcentral. Lineage: Eukaryota; Metazoa; Chordata; Aves; Galliformes; Phasianidae.
AGUAUUUAUAUAUCCGGAGAAAGUUCUAUAGUAAAUUCUGGAGAUCUUCGGUAUUUAAAUAUCAACAUCGAUUUGUUUAUUUAUUGCUCAGCUUAUCGUAACCGACUCGAUAACAAAUCUAAUCAUGUGGCUUGCGGAAAAAUAUAUAUAUAUUCUCAUUAUGCAUUUUCCCUACAUUAUAGUUAACUGUUACAUUUGAAUUCGAGCUGUAAAUUCAACAUUAUCAAGUAAUUACU